UGAAUCUCCUCUUUUGCCUUGGACCUGCUUGCAUGGGGAAUUGUGACAGAUUACUGGGCCCAUCACCUAGUAGAUGUUACUGUCUAUUUUUUACCUGGAUCCUGCCUACAGAAAGGAUUGUGACAAAUCAGUGGGCCAAGCAUCCCGGUGACGUGGCUCUUCUGUCUUAGCAAUUCCUAUAGUUGGAAUAGUGACAUAAACCUGGGUCAAGCAUCUGGGUAAUGUAACUCUUCUUUCUGGACACUUUUCUCAGAGAACAUUGUGAUAUAUCUUUGUGCCCAUCACCUAGGUCAUGUGACUCUCCUUUUUUUCCUGGGCUCUGUCCACAGGGUAAUUUGUGACAUACUGCUGGACCCAGCACCCAGGUCAUUUGACUCUCCUGCCUUGGCCCUUCCCACAGAGGGCAUUGUGACAUUGAGUGGGCUCAGCAGCUAGGUGAUACGACUUUCCUGCCAGGACUCUUCCAACAGAAGGGACAUUGACCUACUCAGGCUCAGUAUUCAGCCAAUAGAUGAAAAAAGAUUCAAGGAAGACACAUUUGCUUUUUAUUCACUCAUCACUUCCCAUCACUAUGCUGACCAGAGUCAAUGUGAGCAGAGUUGAGAAUAGCAGUUUUCUGGCAGGAGAGCCACUUCUCAGCAAAAAAUGACACACUCAAAGUAUAAAUCUUUCAUGGAAGGCUCACAUAUUUUCAGCAAAUUAAGCAUAUGCAUGAAUAAAAUUCUUGUGGUGAAAUAAAGAUUCAUUUUAUUGAUUCCUAUUGAGCUCAGGUAAUAUUGGAUGAAAAGCAAA
RNAcentral lists this long non-coding RNA (792 nucleotides) under Homo sapiens (human). Its description in RNAcentral is "HSALNT0340963". Lineage: Eukaryota; Metazoa; Chordata; Mammalia; Primates; Hominidae. The record is from RNAcentral.